UUUUUGUAUGUCCUAGAACAAACUUAUUUUGUGAAGCUAGAUGUGAUUUCGUUCGACCAACAUGCAAGAACAAAACAUUUCUAAGUCACAAGAAAAAACUUUCUUGUGACUUAGCACUGUUUUGUUUUUAUGAAUCUUGCAACAUUCAUUUAAAAUGUUUGCCUUGUUGAAGUUUGUUGAGUUUAUUAUAUCGUAUGUAGAUUGCUUCUUUUA
This 213-nucleotide long non-coding RNA is filed under the name Lathyrus oleraceus (garden pea). Its description in RNAcentral is "Pisum sativum (pea) long non-coding RNA (PSAT_LNC028861)". Lineage: Eukaryota; Viridiplantae; Streptophyta; Magnoliopsida; Fabales; Fabaceae. The record is from RNAcentral.